CUACGUGAUGAUAGCCUAUCAGACCUGUUCCGAGUUUUGCUUUGAGGAUAAACCGAUAUUGCCUUUUAUUUCUGAUC
Molecule: small nucleolar RNA, 77 nt
Filed under: Galerina marginata CBS 339.88
Lineage: Eukaryota; Fungi; Basidiomycota; Agaricomycetes; Agaricales; Galerinaceae
Description: Small nucleolar RNA snR56
Rfam family: Small nucleolar RNA snR56
Source: Rfam by way of RNAcentral